GGAACUAGGCAAAUUGACCCUGUAACUUCGGAAUAAAGGGUCCCUCCUCGCAAGAGAGGGCGCAGAGAAUAGGUCCAGGCAACUGUUUAACAAAAACACAGGGCUGUGCAAAUAUGAAAGUAGAAGUAUACAGCCUGACACCUGCCCGGUGCUGGAAGGUUAAGAGGAGAUGUCAUCGAUGAGAGAAGCAUUGAAUUGAAGCCCCAGUAAACGGCGGCCGUAACUAUAACGGUC
This 234-nucleotide ribosomal RNA is filed under the name Bacteroides caecigallinarum. RNAcentral describes it as "partial 23S ribosomal RNA". It matches the Rfam family "Bacterial large subunit ribosomal RNA", at positions 1709 to 1950 of the family's 2925-position model. The record is from RNAcentral. Lineage: Bacteria; Pseudomonadati; Bacteroidota; Bacteroidia; Bacteroidales; Bacteroidaceae.